GACGAACGCUGGCGGCGUGCUUAACACAUGCAAGUCGAACGGAAAGGCCUCUUUCGGGGGGUACUCGAGUGGCGAACGGGUGAGUAACACGUGAGUAACCUGCCCUUGACUUUGGGAUAACUUCAGGAAACUGGGGCUAAUACCGGAUAGGAGCUCCUGCUGCAUGGUGGGGGUUGGAAAGUUUCGGCGGUUGGGGAUGGACUCGCGGCUUAUCAGCUUGUUGGUGGGGUAGUGGCUUACCAAGGCCUUGACGGGUAGCCGGCCUGAGAGGGUGACCGGCCACAUUGGGACUGAGAUACGGCCCAGACUCCUACGGGAGGCAGCAGUGGGGAAUAUUGCACAAUGGGUGGAAGCCUGAUGCAGCAACGCCGUGGGCGGGAUGACGGCUUUCGGGUUGGAAACCGCUUUCGCUCAUGACGAAGCUUUGUGUGACGGUAGUGGGUAAAGAAGCACCGGCUAACUACGUG
RNAcentral lists this ribosomal RNA (467 nucleotides) under uncultured bacterium. RNAcentral's name for it is "partial 16S ribosomal RNA". It matches the Rfam family "Bacterial small subunit ribosomal RNA", at positions 28 to 507 of the family's 1533-position model. The record is from RNAcentral.